GGGGACGGGCGGGUGCCUAAUACAUGCAAGUCGAGCGAACUGAUUAGGAAGCUUUGCUCUCUAUGACCUUAGCGCGCGGAGGGGUGAAUAACACGUGUGCAACCUGCGUGUAAGAGUGGGAUAACUUCGGGAAACCGGAUCUAAUACCGGAUAGGAUCUUCUCCUUCGUGGGAAAUGAUUGAAAGAUGGUUUCGGCUAUCACUUACAGAUGGGCCCGCGGUGCAUUAGCUAGUUGGUGAGGUAACGGCUCACCAGGGCAACGAUGCAUACCCGACCUGAGAGGGUGAUCGGCCACACUGGGACUGAGACACGGCCCAGACUCCUACGGGAGGCAGCAGUAGGGAAUCUUCCGCAAUGGACGAAAGUCUGACGGAGCAACGCCGCGUGAGUGAUGAAGGCUUUCGGGUCGUAAAACUCUGUUGUUAGGGAAGAACAAGUACGAGAGUAACUGCUCGUACCUUGACGGUACCUAACCAAAAAGCCACGGCUAACUACGUGCCAGCAGCCGCGGUAAUACGUAGGUGGCAAGCGUUAUCCGGAAUUAUUGGGCGUAAAGCGCGCGCAGGCGGUUUCUUAAGUCUGAUGUGAAAGCCCACGGCUCAACCGUGGAGGGUCAUUGGAAACUGGGGAACUUGAGUGCAAAAAAAAAAAGCGGAAUUCCACGUGUAGCGGUGAAAUGCGUAAAAAUGUGGAGGAACACCAGUGGCGAAGGCGGCUUUUUGGUCUGUAACUGACGCUGAGGCGCAAAAGCGGGGGGAGCAAACGGGAUUAAAUACCCGGGGGAUCCCAAAA
RNAcentral lists this ribosomal RNA (792 nucleotides) under Priestia megaterium. RNAcentral describes it as "bacterial SSU rRNA". It matches the Rfam family "Bacterial small subunit ribosomal RNA", at positions 29 to 804 of the family's 1533-position model. The record is from RNAcentral. Lineage: Bacteria; Bacillati; Bacillota; Bacilli; Caryophanales; Bacillaceae.